UUGUUUUUGUAUUUGUAAUAAAAUAAGUUGAAGUUUAGCAUAUGAAUAGUAAGAGAAGUCAAACAUAACAUUAUAAUGUCGAUUGUCUUGCAAGAUGCUGUUGCUUGGUUUAUGCCCAUUCAUUCGGCUGAAAUGGUAUUCUUGUGUGCUAAAUUCUGACAAAUCAUUUUUAUCAUGAUUUGGAUUCAAUGAUCUGAUGGCUGUUGUUUGUUACAGUUAUAAUUUUUGUAUUCGGUUAGCAAGUAAUAGCAUCUAGGUUUAGAGAGUGCAUUUAUUUUCUUGCUUUGUCAUGGAAUAUGUUCGUCGAUGGUCUUACUUACAUUGUGGCAGAAGCUACACACUGUAAGCAGGCCGACUUGGACUUCCGAGGGCAUGAGGAGAUCUACGCUGAACCUGGCGGAGUGAUGGACUUCGAGGAAGAUAGAAUCCGACCUAAGAGGAGGCGGCAUCCACUACAUUGAACAGUGGGAGAUAGAGUGUUUAUCAGGUGACUGCUGGUUUGGACAGCGGCAAACUGCACAGAUUUCUGCUUUUGGAGAUAAUACAACUUUACUUUUGGACCAUUGUCGCUGAUCUUUGACCUUUUGCAAAGUUGGCAACUAUACAAGCCCCCUGAAUCCAUGUUAAAUUUUCAUUAGAGUAGGUGGUCUGUUUUGGUGUUGAAGGGUUGAAUUUUUCAUGGGUGGAUCUUGGGAUUGUAAUAGUUACAAUAUAUUUUCGAGGUUUAGUUAAGAUUCGUAGUUAAUAUAAUCUUCUUGAUUGAUCUAUGACUAUUGACGUGAAAAUUUUGGUGCUUUUAUAGCAAGAUGAAGUGAAUUUGGCGCAGUAUCGAUUUCAUCGUC
Molecule: long non-coding RNA, 842 nt
Organism: Chenopodium quinoa (quinoa)
Lineage: Eukaryota; Viridiplantae; Streptophyta; Magnoliopsida; Caryophyllales; Amaranthaceae
Exons: 2
Source: RefSeq, a predicted model, not a curated record